GAUGAACGCUGGCGGCGUGCCUAAUACAUGCAAGUCGAGCGAACAGACGAGGAGCUUGCUCCUCUGACGUUAGCGGCGGACGGGUGAGUAACACGUGGAUAACCUACCUAUAAGACUGGGAUAACUUCGGGAAACCGGAGCUAAUACCGGAUAAUAUAUUGAACCGCAUGGUUCAAUAGUGAAAGACGGUUUUGCUGUCACUUAUAGAUGGAUCCGCGCCGCAUUAGCUAGUUGGUAAGGUAACGGCUUACCAAGGCAACGAUGCGUAGCCGACCUGAGAGGGCGAUCGGCCACACUGGAACUGAGACACGGUCCAGACUCCUACGGGAGGCAGCAGUAGGGAAUCUGCCGCAAUGGGCGAAAGCCUGACGGAGCAACGCCGCGUGAGUGAUGAAGGUCUUCGGAUCGUAAAACUCUGUUAUUAGGGAAGAACAAAUGUGUAAGUAACUAUGCACGUCUUGACGGUACCUAAUCAGAAAGCCACGGCUAACUACGUG
RNAcentral lists this ribosomal RNA (497 nucleotides) under uncultured bacterium. RNAcentral describes it as "partial 16S ribosomal RNA". It matches the Rfam family "Bacterial small subunit ribosomal RNA", at positions 28 to 507 of the family's 1533-position model. The record is from RNAcentral.